GCACUGCUGAGGAGUCCCACAAAGGGACGAAACAGCUGUCCAGUGU
Molecule: non-coding RNA, 46 nt
Filed under: Schistosoma haematobium
Lineage: Eukaryota; Metazoa; Platyhelminthes; Trematoda; Strigeidida; Schistosomatidae
Source: RNAcentral